This 1575-nucleotide ribosomal RNA is filed under the name Lactiplantibacillus plantarum subsp. plantarum. RNAcentral describes it as "Lactobacillus plantarum subsp. plantarum 16S ribosomal RNA". It matches the Rfam family "Bacterial small subunit ribosomal RNA". Lineage: Bacteria; Bacillati; Bacillota; Bacilli; Lactobacillales; Lactobacillaceae. The record is from RNAcentral.
UUAAUUUGAGAGUUUGAUCCUGGCUCAGGACGAACGCUGGCGGCGUGCCUAAUACAUGCAAGUCGAACGAACUCUGGUAUUGAUUGGUGCUUGCAUCAUGAUUUACAUUUGAGUGAGUGGCGAACUGGUGAGUAACACGUGGGAAACCUGCCCAGAAGCGGGGGAUAACACCUGGAAACAGAUGCUAAUACCGCAUAACAACUUGGACCGCAUGGUCCGAGUUUGAAAGAUGGCUUCGGCUAUCACUUUUGGAUGGUCCCGCGGCGUAUUAGCUGGAUGGUGGGGUAACGGCUCACCAUGGCAAUGAUACGUAGCCGACCUGAGAGGGUAAUCGGCCACAUUGGGACUGAGACACGGCCCAAACUCCUACGGGAGGCAGCAGUAGGGAAUCUUCCACAAUGGACGAAAGUCUGAUGGAGCAACGCCGCGUGAGUGAAGAAGGGUUUCGGCUCGUAAAACUCUGUUGUUAAAGAAGAACAUAUCUGAGAGUAACUGUUCAGGUAUUGACGGUAUUUAACCAGAAAGCCACGGCUAACUACGUGCCAGCAGCCGCGGUAAUACGUAGGUGGCAAGCGUUGUCCGGAUUUAUUGGGCGUAAAGCGAGCGCAGGCGGUUUUUUAAGUCUGAUGUGAAAGCCUUCGGCUCAACCGAAGAAGUGCAUCGGAAACUGGGAAACUUGAGUGCAGAAGAGGACAGUGGAACUCCAUGUGUAGCGGUGAAAUGCGUAGAUAUAUGGAAGAACACCAGUGGCGAAGGCGGCUGUCUGGUCUGUAACUGACGCUGAGGCUCGAAAGUAUGGGUAGCAAACAGGAUUAGAUACCCUGGUAGUCCAUACCGUAAACGAUGAAUGCUAAGUGUUGGAGGGUUUCCGCCCUUCAGUGCUGCAGCUAACGCAUUAAGCAUUCCGCCUGGGGAGUACGGCCGCAAGGCUGAAACUCAAAGGAAUUGACGGGGGCCCGCACAAGCGGUGGAGCAUGUGGUUUAAUUCGAAGCUACGCGAAGAACCUUACCAGGUCUUGACAUACUAUGCAAAUCUAAGAGAUUAGACGUUCCCUUCGGGGACAUGGAUACAGGUGGUGCAUGGUUGUCGUCAGCUCGUGUCGUGAGAUGUUGGGUUAAGUCCCGCAACGAGCGCAACCCUUAUUAUCAGUUGCCAGCAUUAAGUUGGGCACUCUGGUGAGACUGCCGGUGACAAACCGGAGGAAGGUGGGGAUGACGUCAAAUCAUCAUGCCCUUAUGACCUGGGCUACACACGUGCUACAAUGGAUGGUACAACGAGUUGCGAACUCGCGAGAGUAAGCUAAUCUCUUAAAGCCAUUCUCAGUUCGGAUUGUAGGCUGCAACUCGCCUACAUGAAGUCGGAAUCGCUAGUAAUCGCGGAUCAGCAUGCCGCGGUGAAUACGUUCCCGGGCCUUGUACACACCGCCCGUCACACCAUGAGAGUUUGUAACACCCAAAGUCGGUGGGGUAACCUUUUAGGAACCAGCCGCCUAAGGUGGGACAGAUGAUUAGGGUGAAGUCGUAACAAGGUAGCCGUAGGAGAACCUGCGGCUGGAUCACCUCCUUUCUAAGGAA